Long non-coding RNA from Mytilus trossulus (common blue mussel), 1590 nucleotides. RefSeq lists it as uncharacterized. The transcript has 5 exons. The record is from RefSeq and is a predicted model, not a curated record. Lineage: Eukaryota; Metazoa; Mollusca; Bivalvia; Mytilida; Mytilidae.
AGGUCUUACCUGAACUGGUUCCCAGAUUGCAUAGCUACAUUGGAUAACAGACGUUCUUCUGUCUGGACUGUUGUAGAAGUUGAACUUUACCAGUUUGAAGGUGUACAACUGUGCAAGUAUUGAACAUCAGCUUGAAAUGCAAUGUGACCUAAAAGACAGUAUAAUAAUGGACAGAUAAAAGUCGUCUCCUGAAACAACUGAGACAAAUCUACCUAAAUUUGGCCACACUCAUCAUUAGGGUUCUCUGGUCGUAAGAACCUGUUGGCCACACACAUAAAGAUUUUCAUUGAUCCUGCUUUCAGCUAAAUAUCAGAAAAAUUAAGAACAAAGGAAAAUAUGCUGAAACUGUACAGUCACCGGUCAGGAUUAUUUCAGAAGUGAAAUUAUAAUACAAUUUAUUUUACUUGUUAAUUCCUUUGAUUUGUAAUUUUAAACAACACACAGAGGCUUUGCAUUAUUGUUUUACAAGAGAGACACCAAAAGAUGCGGUCAACAUUUAUCAUUUUUAUCAAAAUACGCCCAGGACAAACCAUGGAUACACUUAACUUGAAAUAUGGUGCUUUCAUGCCAAAAUUGCCUGGAAGUAAAAGAAAUAAAGAACCAUUCAUGUCAGCAAUCAGGGGAUAAGAUGAAAGAAUGCAGAAUAAGGCAGGAGUGAAAGGAAGAGAAAGCUAGGCAUCAGUAAAGAAACAGAUCAAUUUAUAAUAUGUAAUAAUUCCAUCUGAAUAUAACAAACAUUGCACAUGCUAUGAAGAUUUAUUCACAUGUAUACUAUGAUUUGUAGUUAUAUUUUAUUGUAUGUAUUUGAAAUAUUAAAAGUACAUGUAUUUUACUUUAGAAAAGUAUUUUAAUUUUUAUAUUUUGCUGUGGAGAAUAUCAAAGAAAUUUAGAAAAACAUAAUUAAAGAUAGUUUCUUCCAUAUUUUCUGUGACAAAAAAAAAUGUGCAAAUUACGAAAAUUAAAUGAGGCUAAAUUAGUGAAUAUUUUUGAGUUUGAGUUUUUUUUCAUUCCUAUUUUAAAAUUUCAUUGGCAUUUGAAAUAAUGAGUUGAAACUAGUUUUUAUCAAUUAUUUUGUUUUCAAGAUGUACAACAGUAGAGAAGGUUAAGGUUUUGUGUACAAUAGUUUACUAUGAUGUAAUGGUCAAAUAAACUUGAAACUUUGUACUUUCAAGUGUUCAUUUAAGUCAGUGUUUUUUAAACAAUUACAAAUAAGUUACUGAACAUGGAAAUCUGAUUGUGGAAGCAGAGUAUAAUGUGUUAUGGACACAUAUAUAUAUAUAUCUCAAUCCCAUAGAGCAUCGCCCUCCUCACCAGCCUCUCAGUAAUGGCAUAUUGACUUUGAAAAUUUCCUUUGUUUACACUGAAAUAUUUGUGAUAAGUCCACAUUUAAGGAGAACCACUAAAAGUAGGUCAGGGAUAAUUUAUAUGCAGUUGAAUAUGCUUUUGGACAAUGCAUGUGCUUAGGGAUUUUAAUAAUUCUGAACCCUAAAUCAUGGUUUUAUAACUUACAAUCUUUUGCAGUUUUCUGUUUAUAUGUUAAAGUUUAUGCUUAGGCCAGUUUAAUAUCGACCACUUAUAAAUAGGAUUUAG